Molecule: non-coding RNA, 294 nt
Organism: Vicia faba (fava bean)
Lineage: Eukaryota; Viridiplantae; Streptophyta; Magnoliopsida; Fabales; Fabaceae
Source: the annotation of a GenBank genome assembly
AUGCCUUAUGUUGUAUUUGCUUAUGAACUUCUUGAUGCAACUAGUACGUUAGCUUGUGAUAUGUUGAAGCAUGGCAUGAAUACACGGGGGAUGAAGUUUCUAGAAGAGAGCAGGUUUUCAUGUGAACUGACUUGGUUGUACAGGACAUCCGGUUUAUUAUGCAAAUCAAGGUUUGAUGACAGUGGAGAUGCACCUCUUGGAACUAUGGAAGCUUGGAGCAAAGAUAAUUGCAAGCAUGAAGACAACUUUCACAUGUUAUUUAAACAUUGCAUUACUAUUUGUAAUAGCCUUUAG